Cynara cardunculus var. scolymus (artichoke) is the source of this 1024-nucleotide long non-coding RNA. RefSeq lists it as uncharacterized. Lineage: Eukaryota; Viridiplantae; Streptophyta; Magnoliopsida; Asterales; Asteraceae. The record is from RefSeq and is a predicted model, not a curated record. The transcript is spliced from 2 exons.
CUUCUCAGUUUAACAUCCCCCCACCAUGGCGACCUCCAUCGAAGCAAAGAUAUGUAAGCUUUCUGUGUGAGCAAUGAGAGAGGAUUUAGAAGAAAAUAAAAGAGUGCUAUGGGAGAAUGUUAGAGAGGGUGAAAGGAUUCAGUUGCAAUACUUCUCGUGUCCAUCCCUCGUCAUCCCAAACCCGAACCAAAAACCUCUAUGAAAUUGUCAGAGUUUACACCACAACGAGUUCCAACGCCUUGAAAUCCACCUACGUUUACUGUUUCCGAUCAAAUUUUGGUGUGAUGAAUCGUCGUUUUCUUCUUCGAACCAAGUAGAUAAAUCGUUGGUGAUGUUGAUGUGGAUGGUGUUGGUGUUGGUCUUUAUGGAAAUCAUGUAAAUCUCUAGAGUUUUUUUAAUACCACAUCGGAAUGAGCUUCUUUCAUGGAUCAAUAUUAGGCUUCAACUCAAUCUUUCUCGUAUUGAAGAGGUCCAUAAGCCUUCUCAUAAUUUAGUUUUUUUUUAAUUUUCUUUUUCUUUAGAUUAUUCGAUGUUUUUGGUUCAUAAAUUGAAGGACGAUUACAAAAAUGGACACUUGAUCUACACAAAAAUUAUAUUUGCAAGAUCAACAACAUUAAUACAAGAUGAUAGAAAUGACGUAUCCAAGGGGCAUUCCAUAUGCACAAGGUCAAUUUCGAUGGUUGUUGAGUAUAUGUUGCAUUCAAACAAGAACAUACAAAAUCUUUCUUCCUACGCUGCUUAUUAGAAACCUCAUCAAUGGUGAGUAUAUGUCAUAGUCAACCAAGAACACAUGCUUUAUGCACUUGUUCAAUUUGGUUCUCGAACUGUAUUUUGCUUUGUCUCUCUAGCUUCAUCAAAAAAGUUGUUAGGAUCCAAGCGCUUACCACUACGCCAAAAGCAAUUGCUGAUGGAGAAGCGCAACUUAUUUUCUUUAGCGUAGCAGUUAGCACCACAUUUCGAUUUAGAAAGAUGCUGGUUGAUUUCGAUUUGGGCCCUUAUUAUCUAUUAAAUUUUUUUUACCUCU